AUACAGAGGGUGCAAGCGUUAAUCGGAAUUAUUGGGCGUAAAGGGCUUGUAGGUGGUUCUAUAAGUUAGAUGUGAAAACCCUGGGCUUAACCCGGGACGUGCAUUUAAUACUGUAGAGCUAGAGUAGAGCAGAGGAGUGGGGAAUUCCUGGUGUAGCAGUGAAAUGCGUAGAGAUCAGGAGGAACAUCAGUGGCGAAGGCGCCACUCUGGGCUCAUACUGACACUGAAAAGCGAAGGCGUGGGGAUC
Molecule: ribosomal RNA, 247 nt
Filed under: uncultured bacterium
Lineage: Bacteria
Description: partial 16S ribosomal RNA
Rfam family: Bacterial small subunit ribosomal RNA
Source: RNAcentral